This is a long non-coding RNA of Canis lupus familiaris (dog), 2992 nucleotides long. RefSeq lists it as uncharacterized. The transcript has 8 exons. The record is from RefSeq and is a predicted model, not a curated record. Lineage: Eukaryota; Metazoa; Chordata; Mammalia; Carnivora; Canidae.
GAGCUAACCCCAGUUCAGCUACUUACUAGAACAAUGGAGAGAGCUCUUCCCCAGCCACACACAAAAAAUGGCUUGCAUUUUGAGAGUGAGGAUGCAGCACACCUAUGAAUAAGGAAGUUUUGAAUCAUGAUACAGCUCAAGGACGCAGGACUCAGUUCAAGGCUUGUUAGAAAAACGGAGAAAUCUAAGCAUCAACCAGCAAGUGGGGAGAGCUUUAGAUGAAGAGAUAGGCCUUGAAGCCACCCCUAAAACUUCACCUUUUUGCAGUAGUCUGCCCUUCCUACAUCCAUUGUUCGAAUUUGCUGGAGGUAGAAACAUGAAACUUCUCACAACCUCCAAGUGCUAUGAUGAUACAGUUGCAGUGAGCCAGUAAGAAGUACCUAGAAUUACUCUUCAAGUGAUUGGUAUUCAUUCCUUCAUUCCUGCUACUAGCAUUUGAGGAAGUCCUGGUUUACCAAGCACUAUGUCUGGCCAGGGACCCAGAGAAAAACAAGACAAGCCAUCUACUCCUGUGGCUGAAAACCUUUCUGCUGUCCCAAUUCUCAUUUACUAAUAAAACUACAAUGAUCAACCUGACCAUUUACAUAUUUGACUAGCUUCGUAAAUAAUGCUGCUUAGAGGUAUUAUAUCUGUGAAGUGGGGAAGCAGAGGCUCUAGUAGAGGAUUAGAGAGAAGUUGGAAGGCUUCGGAGUCCUCAGAUACAUUCCCCAACAUACUGUAAUGAGGUCUGAACAUUCCCACUUUCAGAAACAAAGGCAGAGGAAUUCAAACCUGCUAGAACAUCGUGGAUUUUCUGGAAAGCUUAUUACGGUGAUACGGAGUUUAAUGUGCCACCCACCAUAUGCACAUGAAAUCAAAAUCUCCCAAGGUGGGGCUGUCUAUCUGCAUUUCAGCAGGUUCUUGAGGGGACUUUUCUAAAGCCAGUCCAGCAACAGGAAACUUCUGGAAUGAGGCAGAGAAGUUCUCUCUUAAAAUGUAAAUAGCUAUUUUAUCACAAUUGACAGGUUUGGAUAAGAAAUCCCAGUCUAAACAUAGCCUCCAACAAUGAAUAUGGGCCAACUUCAUUUAAUCGAGAUGAGUGUUCUAACGUGACUGUUCUGAACUUUGCAAGACUCCAGAAUCACCCUUCUGAAGGACAUUGCCCAACCUUGGGGCUACAAGGAAGAAGCAGGAAACUGAAGGAGUAGAAACUUAAGGAAAGUCACUAGAAAUGUUUUUCUUUGCUUUCAGCCUUUUUUUCCCCCAUUAUUAUUCUAUGGCUCUAAAUGUUGUAUACAGGAUUGCAUGUGUGCAGGGAAAGGCACAUGGACACUGGUGGGUUUUCAUUUAAAAUCUCUUCUAAUAAGGUUUGCCAGUAAUGGAAAGAACAGAAAGUGUUUCAGCUACAGGAAAACAUUUAUUUCAACCACUAGCAUUCACUGGGCCAGGCUACCUAGCUGCUAUCAGAUAUUCAGACAAAACCUGGUUAGCCCAAUUAACUAGCUCCCCAAAUUUAAGAUGAAAGUCUACCUGAGCCAUGCUAAUCAAAGUUGUUUCAUGUUCCAUUUGUGCAAGUGCUAGGUAGCUUCUGUUUAGAUCAGAGAAGCUUUUAUACCACUACAGGUGUAUGUGGAGAAACAGAAGAGAUGGAAAGAAAGACAAAAAUAUCCCAACAUAUGGGUAGGGAUGGAACUGACAGAUGGGAACCAUCUUAGUUCUAGAAAGGCAAAUUGGGAAAGAGAAAGAUGUUUGAACCAAAUUUGGGGAUGUGGUGUGAAAUUAUGCCAUAACUUUUGGAUCUUAAUAUCAUGAAACAAUUCUCUUUACCCUAUUCCUUUCAAUCUUUGGGAAAGGUGAGUAGAAAAAUAAUUCUUUCAUGCAUGGAAUGGUUUCAAAGGAUGACAUAGUCCUUCCACUGUCGUCCUAAAAGAAGCUCCAAGGAACUCGUCACCAAAACAUUUCAAGUUUCCCCAUCAAUUCCAUCUUCAAAUUUCAUCACUAUCUUCAGUUAAAAAGAAUAAACCCUUUUCUGAGAAUUUAGCCAGAGUAAAAAUUACUUUAACUUUUCCUUGCUAAUAAGACAAAAAAUGUUGCUAUGAUAGGUACAUAAGCUCAGAAAGCUGAGGUUGCUGGCUCCUGAAUAUGACAGAAUGAUUUCUACUAAAACCAAGUGAUUGAGGAGGUCUUUGGAGUUGUGAUAAGUAAGAACCAGCAGAAAUCAGAGACUGGCUCUUUGUAUACCUGGAUCUGGAAAACUGAAAAAAAGAGAUGUUGAAGGUGGUGAAUUCAAGUUUAUACCUGGGAAGAUUGUUUCUGGGCAGUGAGCAUCCUUUCUCUUCAGAGGGUGUUUUCAUCACACCUCUUGAGGCUGUCACAUCUGUCUGUUUAACAGACUCUACCUUGUUUUUUUGUUUUAUUUUUUUAAGAUUUUAUUUAUUCAUUCAUGAGAGACAGAGAAAGAGAAAGAGAGAGAGAGGCAGAGACACAGGCAGAGGGAGAAGCAGGGUCCAUUCAGGAAGCCUGAUGUGGGACUUGAUCCCAGGACUCGAUCCCAGGACUCCAGGACCACGCCCCAGGCCGAAGAAAGGCACUAAACUGCUGAGCCACCCAGGGAUCCCCCAGACUCUACCUUGUUGAUGAAAUGUUUCUGUGUAUAUGUAGAUGCUAUGAACAAUAGUAACCUGAAUGUCAGCUCUAAGAAGGCACCCUGAGAAAGGACAUUCUUGGAAACCGCCACUCAGUACCAUGCACUUAAAAUAAAAACAAAACAGUACCUGUCUCCUUAGGUCUCUUGUUUUCUUGGUCAUCUUAUCAAUUGCAAUGUUUAGAGGAUCUCCUUUUUCUUUUCUUCCAGUCUAUUAAGAGAAGAGAAACAAUCUCUAGGUUAGAUAAUUCAAUUUUAAUUUUAAAAUUAAAAAAAAAGGAAAUGUACUUGACUGGUAGAAACCAAGCAAAAGAGAGAGAGAGGAAACUCUUUUCAAUACACAACUAUUAUGAUUUGUCUCUAAAAUUA